UCUCCGUAGGUGAACCUGCGGAGGGAUCAUUACAGAGUUCAUGCCCUUCCGAAUAGAUCUCCCACCCUGUGUUAUCGUCACCUUUGUUGCUUUUUCGGGCCGCCCAGACCUUUGCCCGGCUACCGGCUCCGGCUGGUAAGCGCCCGCCAGAGGUUCCUAAACUCUUGAAUAUCAGUAUCGUCUGAGUACUAUGUAAUAGUUAAAACUUUCAACAACGGAUCUCUUGGUUCUG
RNAcentral lists this unclassified non-coding RNA (232 nucleotides) under plant metagenome. RNAcentral's name for it is "partial contains small subunit ribosomal RNA, internal transcribed spacer 1, and 5.8S ribosomal RNA". The record is from RNAcentral.